This 465-nucleotide long non-coding RNA is filed under the name Pongo abelii (Sumatran orangutan). Its description in RNAcentral is "lincRNA". The record is from RNAcentral. Lineage: Eukaryota; Metazoa; Chordata; Mammalia; Primates; Hominidae.
AGGAAGUGCAAGACUCUGACCCAACCCCCAUGCCUGCCAUCCCCAAACAUGGGCUCAAAACCCCUUCCCAGGGACGGCUGUGUCCACCCCUCAGCAGGAGGAGGAGACCCCACAGCACCGGGUGAGAGGAUUAAGUGAACCAGUCAUGCAUGGGUCGAGAGCCAGGUUUGGCAUAUUGUAGCUGCUCAGUGGACGUUAGCUGUUAUGAUUGGACCACAAUGUGCUUCCGUUUCAAUUCUAUGGGCAUUUUGGAGGUCCUGCUGGAUGCUAAGCACCGAAACCUCAACCCGGAAAAAGACCAGAACAACCUGAGCAACAACAGGACCAGCGAUGGCUCUCCCUGCUGGAGGAUUCCGGAAGCCACCUGGGUGGACCAAGCCCCCUCCGUGUUCUCUGUCAGCGCACUCCCCAGAGCAGCUAGGCCUGAUGUGCACAAGCAGACUAAUAGAGGCUUGAGGACAAAAA